GAUUAAUGUGUUAUUCAUAUGAACAGUAUUGCAGAUAACCUCCCUGUGGCCACACGGCUGGAGCUUUACCCAAACAAAGAGGAAGGAAUGGAAGAGGAACAGAGGAAGGACACACAGAAGGAUAUCCAGUUUGAGCAUGGCUACAGACUCGGCUUCACCGAAAACAACAAGUUCUAUUUGCACAACCAUCUGUCAUUCAUCCUGUACUACCACAAAGAAAAGGUGGAGGAGGAUGUCGAACACAAUUACAGAGUUGUACGUUUCGAGGUGAUGCCAAAGAGUGUAAAAUUAGAAGCUAUAAAAGCA
This is a long non-coding RNA of Sinocyclocheilus grahami, 306 nucleotides long. RefSeq lists it as uncharacterized. The record is from RefSeq and is a predicted model, not a curated record. The transcript has 3 exons. NCBI's taxonomy places the organism in Eukaryota, Metazoa, Chordata, Actinopteri, Cypriniformes, Cyprinidae.